RNAcentral lists this ribosomal RNA (437 nucleotides) under uncultured bacterium. RNAcentral's name for it is "partial 16S ribosomal RNA". It matches the Rfam family "Bacterial small subunit ribosomal RNA", at positions 29 to 507 of the family's 1533-position model. The record is from RNAcentral.
AGCGAACGCUGGCGGCAGGCUUAACACAUGCAAGUCGAGCGGGCAUCCUUGUGGUGUCAGCGGCAGACGGGUGAGUAACGCGUGGGAACGUGCCCUUCGGUUCGGAUUAACUCAGGGAAACUUGAGCUAAUACCGGAUACGUGCGAGAGCAGAAAGGUUUAUCUGCCGAAGGAUCGGCCCGCGUCUGAUUAGCUAGUUGGUGAGGUUAUGGCUCACCAAGGCGACGAUCAGUAGCUGGUCUGAGAGGAUGAUCAGCCACACUGGGACUGAGACACGGCCCAGACUCCUACGGGAGGCAGCAGUGGGGAAUAUUGGACAAUGGGGGCAACCCUGAUCCAGCCAUGCCGCGUGAGUGAUGACGGCCUUAGGGUUGUAAAGCUCUUUUCUCCGGGACGAUAAUGACGGUACCGGAGGAAUAAGCCCCGACUAACUUCGUG